RNAcentral lists this long non-coding RNA (5715 nucleotides) under Gossypium barbadense (sea-island cotton). Its description in RNAcentral is "long non-coding RNA (GBAR_LNC017345)". Lineage: Eukaryota; Viridiplantae; Streptophyta; Magnoliopsida; Malvales; Malvaceae. The record is from RNAcentral.
CAAAAAUUGCCUAAUCAGAAUUCUUUGAAUUGCCCGUCCUAUCCAAAAGACAUCGUUUCCUUUUUGACGGUAUCAAUUCUCAGGAAAGCUUGUUCUUCAAAAACCUGUUGAUAUGCUAUGUGAAACUUUCCUUUCUUCUUUCCCCUUCUUCGGUCAAUUUCAGUCUGGUUCUCGCAUCCAGUCAGCAUUCUUUUGUUUUUCGACAUACCUAGGGACGUUCUUUAGUAGGUAAAACUCCCCACUCUUUUUUAAAUAUUAUGUUGCUAGUAUAUGGGCUAAACCAUUUGCUGAUCUCGGAGUAUAUCUGAAUACAAUAUUAUUGAAUCCAACUGUUAUCUGUUGAAUAUCAUGUAUAUAUGCUCCUACUUGUGAUCUGUCUUGACUUUUUUAUUAUCACUUCUUGAUGAUGGCUAAUAAGUCUCUUUCAGUAAUGAUUUCCGGCCACUACAUUUCAAUGCCUAUUUAGACUACUUUACGGCAUGCAAGUACUUCAUUAACGAAAAUGGAGGCCACGUCUUUAUGGGUCUCUAAGCAGGAUAAAAAAAGAUCCCCUCAACGUUUCUGACCACAAAACCCGAGGCUAAUUUUUAGUGACACCCAUCAUAUGCACCGUCAAAAUUGAUCUUAACAAUAGAACCAGGUGGGUGACUCCAUUCUCUCAGCUCCUGCAGUUUUGAGGAUUUUUUUCGAUAUCGUUUAACUCAAUUAUGUAAUUUUUAACAAAUCUCGCUAUUUCCUAACUAGUGCUAAUUUUCCUCUCAUGGAUUCUAGCAUUUCUAUCUCCCCAAAUGGCCCAGAGCUCAAAACAGAAUAUUCGACAGUGGUGGGGGGACACUCAUAAAAAACCUAGGUAAGCCACUGUGUAAAAUCUAUAGUAGUAUCAAUAAGAGUAUUCGAGAAUAAUAAUGCUGUCUAGACUUCAACUGAAAUAGGGCAUUCGCGGAACAGAUGAUCACUUGUUUCAACCCCUCUUCCAUAUUAGGGACAGGUUGUAUUAGUGACUAGUUUCCCAUGAUGCAUGUUGACUAGUGUAGGCAAGUAGUUCCAUGAUACCCUCUAGAUUCUAAUUUUUAUUUUACUAGGGAGAUUUUGAUGCUUGAGUUUUUUUUGGUAGAAGUUUCUAUAGUUGGUUUGUAAAACAUAAGCUCUAGGAUUAGCACAUGAAUUUUGUAAUAGUUUAUACGCGUUACGAACCAAAAAUUUACUGAAGGCUCACCAUUCCAUAUGAGAAAAUCAUGUGGUUUUUGUGCCAGCGAGAUACGGAGUAUCUUCUCAGCAUCUCCCUCCAAAAAGGUAUUAACAAUCAACUUUCGUUUCCAUAUUUGAUUAUUUGUAUCAAUUAACUUAGCAACUUUAGAAUCUUUCAUAUUACGAACAAGAGAAGAUAAUUUGAAAGUUUUUGCAUUUGGAAUCCAAGCAUCAUUAUUAAUUGUAACAUUCAUACCUGUACCCACACUUCAGCAAAGCCCUUUUGCCAAAAUACCAUCCGUCGCCCAAAUACUUCUCCAUGUGUUGUAUUCCCCAAUCGCGAGUUAAUGAAGUCAUUAUUUGGGAAAUACUUUGCUUUAAGCACUCGUGAAAAUAGAGAAUUUGGGUUGUUAAUAAUCCGCUAGUCUUGUUUUGCCAGUAAGGAAAUAUUAAACUGACCAUACUUCUAAAACCUAUUCCCCCUUCAUCUUUUGAACGACACAUAUGCUUCCACUGGCACCAGUGUAUUCCUUUCUUCUCAUGUCCUUUUUGCAACCAAAAUUUAGCUAAAAUGUUUUCUAAUUCCCACAUAAGGAUUUCAAAAUUAGAAAGCAUGACAUAGCAUAAGUUGGUAUUACAUGGAGCACUGAUUUUAUGAAGAUCUCCUUACCCCAUUAUGAUAGUAGUGUUGUACUCCAUCAUUCGAUUCGAAAAUAUACCCUAUCCAUAAGAUUUUGAAAGGAUUCUUUCUUUCAUCUGCCCACCACAUUUUGGAGUCCCAAAUAUUUUUUGGGUCCGUUGAACUUCUCACACCCUACAAAGUCGAUAUUCUUCCUUUUUCCCUUCUCUUUUGUAUUUAAAUUGUAGAAGAUAGUUGAUUUGUUAAAAUUCACACAUUGGCCUGAACAUUGUUCGUAUUCCAUCAUAAUUUCUUUCAAAACCAACGUUAUUUUAUUUGUUGAUUCACCAAAUAGGAUACAAUCAUCCGCGAAGAGUAAGUGUGAUAUCUUUGGUCCCCUUCUGCUAGCUUUUGCUCCUUUUAACAAUCCCUCUCGCAUAGCUAGUCUCAUUAAAGAUGAAAGUCCCUCACUACAUAGUAGAAAAAGGAAAGGACUAAGUGGGUCGCCUUGUUGGGGCCCCAUUGUAGGUUUGAAAAUGUUUCCGCUUUUCCCAUUAAUUUUUACUACGUAAGAAAUCGUGGAAAUACAUUUCAUAAUUAGUGCCACCAAUUCUGCUGCAAAGCCCAUUCGUAGCAUUACUUCCUUUAGAAAGCUCCAUUCAACUCUAUAUAAGCUUUGCUCAUAUCGAGCUUUACUGCCAUAUAUCCUUUCUUUUUGGUAUGUUUCUAGCGAAAAGUGUGUAAAAUCUUAUAGGCUAAUAGCACAUUUUCAAAAAUUAAUCUUUCGAGAACGAAAGCACUUUGAGCACUGUCAAUACAUUUCCCAAUAACUCCUUAAAGAUGAUUUGGUAUUGUUUUCUCCACAAUUUUAUAAAUGAUAGUACACAAACUAAAAGGUCUAAAAUUAACAAGACUUGUAGGGUUCAGGAUUUUUGGAAUAAGCACAAUAUUCGUCAAAUUUAUAGAGUCAAAACCAUUAACAUCAUUCAAAAUUCUGACAUCUUUACCUACAAUGUGCCAAUAUCUCUAAAAGAAUAAUACCGGAAAACCAUCUGUUCCUGGUGCUUUAAUAGGACCCAUUCCUUUUAAAGCUGAAUAAACCUUUUCUGUCGUGUAUGUUGAUAAUAAAGUUGUAUUGAUAUUAGAGGAGAUACUAGAGUCGAUACCCGUUAGUAGAUGGGAUAAAUUCCCAAUCUCAUUAGAUGAAAAUAACUUCUGAAAAACAUAGUGGUAACCUCACUAAUCUCAUCUUCGUCGCAGAUCUCCUUUCCUUCAUCUAAUUCCAGCCUAUUUAUUGUGUUUAUCUAUCCACAAAAUAAGGCAUGUUUAUGAAAGAAGGCUGAAUUCUUGUCCCCUAGUUGAAGCCAAUUGGCCCAUGCUGUUUGUUCCCAAAACAUCUCAUCUUUAUCAAUCUCCAAAUUAAGUUCAAUUUUUGUAUCAAUUAGCGUUGUCAUUGUGUCUUCACCCCUCUCUUUCUCUAAAAAAUUUCUAACUCCUUAGUAAGUUUCCAUUUUAAACCUUCCCAACCUUUCUUAAUUAUACUUGCCCACCUCUUCAGUCUGAAUUGCAACCUUUCUAGUUUUUCAAUGAGCAUACCAGUUGAGGACUCCCAAGAGUUCUUAAUUUCUUAUUCAAUAGAUUCUUCCAUAGUCUACCACGCCUCAAAUUUAAACCUUGGGAUCCCCAUACAAAUUCUUGCAUUAUAUGUAUUUAGGAGAAGGAGGUAGUGGUUCGAUAUUGAGUGUGGUAAAUGUCGGAUACUGCCUUUUGAAAAAAGAUACAACUAUUUUUCAUUCGCAACUCCCCUGUCUAAUCUCUCCAUGAUGUUUGUUUCUGGCAAGUUCCCUUUCUCUAAUGUAAACCAUACCCCAGUAUACCCUACAUCCAUUAAUUGGCAUUCUUCAACAACAUCACAGAAUGCCUCCAUUCUUCUCUCCUCCCUCGGUAUUCCUCUAGUCUUUUCAAAUGAAUACAUGAUUUCGUUGAAGUCGCCACUUACCAACCAAGGAUAGUCUUUAUCCUGACCUAGUUUUCUUAAUAAAUUCAAAGAAACAUUCUUAUUACUUACACAAGGUGCACCAUAAAACCCCGUAAAUCUCUAUUCCUUAGCAACAUUAUCCUCCUUAAUCAAAGCAUCAAUGUGGCUUUUGGAGAAACUCCUUAACUUAACAGUAACUUCCCCUUUCCACGCCAAGCAUAGCCACCACGUAAACCUUUCGCUCCCAAAUCAAUUCCAUUCACAAAACUGCAUCUCCUUCUGACUUUUUCUAUACGUUUCUCAUCAAUUUUUGUCUCCAUAAAGAAGACCAUCUGGGGAUUGUGUUGCUUCAGCAAAUACCAAAGCCUAUGUACAGCCCAUAGACUCUCCAGUCCACGAACAUUCCAACAUAUAAUUUUCUUUGCGUCCGGUCAGCUUGCCUUUUGGCAGUCUCCGAUCCAUAUUGAUUGGGAACACAAAAUUGUUCUGAGUUUUCCAACGCCUAAUCUAAAGGAGUUACUACAUGUACAUCUUUAUUCUCGUGUUUUGUCCUUUUAUAUCCGUCUUCACAAGAAUUCAUCAUACUUCGCUCUUCAGUUUCUAUUUUUGCUUAUUUCCUCUUUCUCAUUAUGCUUUCUUCCUCAACUUGAUUCAUCAUUACCCCUGGUCUAAUUAUUUUCCAGCUUGUCUUCUUAACUGAUUUAGAUUUGUCUUCCAGUAUACUGUCUAUCCCGUUCAAUCUCUCAAUGUUCUCCAUAACAGACCCUUCUUCUUGUAUAUCACCUUCAUUAUGACAUUUGAACAUUCCAUCCUCAUACCUUGAUUUUGGUGCUGUAAACAUCCCCGACUGCCUAGUGUCGUACAUUAAGAUUUUUUAUUUUAAAUCUAUAUACGUCUUCUUUGCCUCCUCUUUUCGUUUUAGUUGUAAAUUAUCUUACAGGCUCUAAAACAUAGCAUUCCCAUCAUUUAGCUUUUUAUUUAUCCCAGAAAGCAUCCCAAUGUCACCUGUGUAGGAACAUUGGGGCAUCAUCUUUUUAGAGAGGGAGCUAAAUUUCAAAAUUUCUUUCCCAAUUUUAAAUUUAGUUAAGCUUUUAGUGCUAAUGAAUAUGGUAAAUCAUCUCCAAGUUUGUUCUUUUCUGCAGGUUUUAACUCGAUACAGUCCUUGAACCCAUACCUCAUUCGUCUACAUACAAAGAAGAAAGUCACCAAAUUCUCAUAUUUAAAGGAGAUACACGAUUUCCUUUGAAUACCUUCUGAGACGAAAAUUCUCCUACAUAGACGUUUCUGCACAUCCAAUUGGACUCUAAGAUGAUAAAAUUCUCCUUUCAGAUCUAAUUACUCCUCCAAAAGUAACUACUAUGGCUUUUAGGAAAUUUUUUUUGUCGAAUUCUGGUAAAUACGAUCCAAUCUUGAUCCAAUACGGUGAAGAAAUAAGCCGAAUUUGACUUCUUUCCAUCGGUUUAACCAACCGAUUGAAGAGUAUAAGUUGUUUCAUAAAUAGCCAUGGUCGACCCUCUAUAACUGUCUCUAGAUCUUCUUCAGUUUCAAACACAACCAAAAACAGAUUUUGCCCUGCCAGUUGAAUAUCAAAUUUUUUCCUAGUAUUCCAAAUACUUUUCAUUUGUGCCCUAAAACUGUCUGGAUUGUAAGAUUUUCCUAUCCAUACAGUACAUAACAAAGUUGGUUUCUCACUUGGUACAACCAUCGAGCUUUUGAUCGAUGAUUGGACGAGCUCUUUCGCCAGAAGGGAGAUCUCGUCUCUUCCCAAACUCUCUACGCCACUACUUUUCUCCAUCUCAAACCACAGUAGUUAUUGUUUUCUCUAUGACACUUAAGAAAAGCACUCUUGGCUAUUUUACAAUUAUAUAUAAAAUAAAACUAAUGUUUAACACUAUAAAUAUAUGCAUUAGUAAGGCAAUUUCAUUCAAGA